UUCUCAGUAGGAAUUUCUAGGUAACUGCAACGUUGCUUUUCCCGUAUUUCCGCCGACAUUGAACAUAGAAUGUGUGGUAAUAUUUAUAAACAGUUAUGUGCCAGUAUAUUGAUUGCAUUCUUAUCCCUCGGCGUUUACUUGACCAUGAACAUGAUGAAAGAACAAAUCGCUGAGAAAUUCGUCGGAGAAGAUUCCGUUGUAUCUAAGAUAAAGAAUGGUCUCUACGAUGUGAAGGUAAACAAGUUCGCUGCCUCGAAAGUGGAACAAGAACUAGAUAAAUUCACGAAAUGGGAGGAAGCGUCGGAGGUAACUCAUGUAAAAAGAAUUCGGAUUGAAAACUUCUCAGAUUUCCUAGAUCACCUUCUGGAAACUUAUAAGGAAAGUGGCGUCACAGAGGCAGAUAGAAAUAAAUGGAACGGAGUACAUUUUGCAGACGAAUGGACGUCCAAAAUUGUUGAGUGGAAAUUUAAUGCUGACACUGCAGAUUCAACCGGUGUCCAGGGGGCACGAUUUGGGAUCGUGGGAUUCGCGAAAUCGGCAGAUGGAAAAUACGUCGACUGCAUGUUAGCAAUUUACAAACUGGACUUUCGACUGGCGCCAAAUUUAGUAUUGAAAGAAAACUCUAUCCUUUGGGGACUUUACGUUUGGUCGACAGUCGAGAAGGAGGAGAUCGACAGAAGCAUCAGUCGGGAGGAGAUUACUAAAUUCCAGAAUUUUUUCCGAUACAAAGCACUGAAUGAAUUCAAAAAGGAAGGGGUUAUUGAUCGAAUUUCGUACACAGAUCGAUUGGAAUAUAAAUCAAAGAGGUAUUGAAGUAUAUGAGUACAACUUCGGAAAGAGAGACUAUUUAGCUUUAUAGACGUCCGUUUAAUGUAUCAAUUUAUAAACUGAAUUCAUGAUUGUCGCAGAUAUUAGCUAUGGCAGACAAUUCCAUUCUUUGAAUACUUUACUUCUGUUUAAGAUGAGACAAGAAGCAAACUACACUGUAGCAGAAGCAUCAGGGUGGAGGAACUCGCUUAAGACGAUGGUCGAACAAGCGGAGAAAAUUAUUAUGUACCGUUAGGAAGCAUCGAAGAUGUUCUCAUGGAUAGUGUGAAAGAAAUAAGCCUCGAAUGGGUAGGAGGGGGAGACAUUGGAGCUCUGCGUCAACAGGGACUUAACAUUCCUCAUUCAAUACGCCGACCAUGCCAAUUUUUCGUCAGAAGAAACGUACCACUGACUUACAUACACACUCUGUUUGAAUUCUGGGAAAGGGAGAUUAGGUUUUCUGGUAUAACUUUACCCAAGUCAACCCGAUUGAAAUGGAAACAUGUGCUGUAUGCUGAAGGAACUAUACAAACCUCUAAAGGAUUUCAAUUCCUUUACAAUUGGCGUACUUCAAGGGAAAGUGUACAAACGGUGUUCACAAAAACAAUACUAGUAACGAACAGGGAUGGUACCGUCAGUGGAAUUCUCAUCGUCUGUCAGGAGGAGUUUAGCUAUGACCCUCUCAUGGUGACGAUCACAGAGCGUCAUACUGCCUUGUGGGGUCUGUUAAGUUGGGAGGAAAGCAGGAGAGAGCACAUCCCGCGAAAUAUAGAUACGUGGUCCAUAAAAACCCUACAAGAAAUCCUGAGGAAUGACGCAGUUCAUCAUAUUUACCAAAUACACCAAGAGCUGUCCACUGAGCAAAGGAAGCAAAGACUGCUGAUGUAGACUCCGUACACGAUUUUAUAUGUAUAUACAAUUUAAUAAUGUGUAUUGUUAUCAUUAACAAUGCAGUAUACAUCUAGAUGACUAAUUAACAGUUUAUUUUACAAAUAACUAUUGUACAACAUAUCGGUAAUAUUUUAUAAAAAUACGAAGGAUCACUAUUGGUCAUGCAAGGUUUCCUAUUUGAAAAUGAAAUUCGGCUGCUUUUUGAGUUUAUUAAAUUCCUAUGUAGGUGUGUAGUCUAUCCCCAUGUCCUAAAAAUUCACUGAUACAUUCUUUGUUUCCAUGGCAACACCUCAAAGUAGCAGUUAAGGGGGCCGACUAUAGUC
RNA transcript from Saccostrea cuccullata (small rock oyster), 2021 nucleotides. RefSeq lists it as uncharacterized. The transcript is spliced from 7 exons. Lineage: Eukaryota; Metazoa; Mollusca; Bivalvia; Ostreida; Ostreidae. The record is from RefSeq and is a predicted model, not a curated record.